AUUGAACGCUGGCGGCAUGCCUUACACAUGCAAGUCGAACGGUAACGGGCCUUCGGGUGCCGACGAGUGGCGAACGGGUGAGUAAUACAUCGGAACGUGCCCGAACGUGGGGGAUAACGAGGCGAAAGCUUUGCUAAUACCGCAUACGAUCUACGGAUGAAAGCAGGGGACAGCAAGGCCUUGUGCGGACGGAGCGGCCGAUGGCGGAUUAGGUAGUUGGUGGGAUAAAAGCUUACCAAGCCGACGAUCUGUAGCUGGUCGGAGAGGAUGGUCAGCCACACUGGGACUGAGACACGGCCCAGACUCCUACGGGAGGCAGCAGUGGGGAAUUUUAGACAAUGGGCGCAAGCCUGGUCCAGCCAUGCCGCGUGGAGGAUGAAGGCCUUCGGGUUGUAAACUUCUUUUGUACGGAACGAAAAGCCUUCUUUUAAUACAGGAGGGUCAUGACGGUACCGUAAGAAUAAGCACCGGCUAACUACGUG
Molecule: ribosomal RNA, 482 nt
Filed under: uncultured bacterium
Lineage: Bacteria
Description: partial 16S ribosomal RNA
Rfam family: Bacterial small subunit ribosomal RNA
Source: RNAcentral